UACGUAGGGUGCGAGCGUUGUCCGGAAUUAUUGGGCGUAAAGGGCUCGUAGGCGGUUUGUCGCGUCGGGAGUGAAAACCUCGGGCUUAACUCGGGGCUUGCUUUCGAUACGGGCAGACUAGAGUGUGGUAGGGGAGACUGGAAUUCCUGGUGUAGCGGUGAAAUGCGCAGAUAUCAGGAGGAACACCGAUGGCGAAGGCAGGUCUCUGGGCCACUACUGACGCUGAGAAGCGAAAGCAUGGGGAGCGAACAGG
RNAcentral lists this ribosomal RNA (253 nucleotides) under uncultured bacterium. RNAcentral describes it as "partial 16S ribosomal RNA". It matches the Rfam family "Bacterial small subunit ribosomal RNA", at positions 524 to 776 of the family's 1533-position model. The record is from RNAcentral.